This 2305-nucleotide long non-coding RNA is filed under the name Cinara cedri. Lineage: Eukaryota; Metazoa; Arthropoda; Insecta; Hemiptera; Aphididae. The record is from RNAcentral.
GUAAUAACACAUUAAUAAUAACGUUUCCCGCGUAUCUCUUGUUCGUAUUUACGUUGUUCCCGGCGGUUUUCGAAUUAUAACCGUGUUUUGUUGCAAUUAUUUUUUUCAUUCGUGAAGACAUGCUUUAAUAAAGUGGUUAAAUAUUUGUAUUUUGUUUUACGUGGUUUCAAAUAAUGGUCCGUUGCCGUGUACUAUGUGGGCCCCGCGAACUGGUGACCGACAAUUCGAAAUUGUGUUCGAACCGUUUCGCCGACGCCGAAUUCGCAGUCGCGAACGAACGGCGACGUCGCUUACGUCCACACGCGGUUCCGACAACAGUAAUCGUUAGGUGACGUUAUAAAUGAACGUUUACGACAGUUUUAAUACGGCGUGAUGUAAAAGUUCGACAAUACACAUUUUCGUGCACAAACGCACACAAUAUUCUCAAAUACCUACCUAAACAUCGUUUUUAAUGUUUUAAUACCAAAUUCAUUAGUUGCAAACUGUUUUCAUGACGUUAAACCCCUUCAUUAAUGCAUAUAUAUAUAUAUAUUUAUAAGAUUGGUGAGUAUACAUGUACCUAUUGGUUACGAUAAGUACAUUUUAGAAGAAUGUAUUGGUUUUACAACAAUGUUUAUUUAUUUCAUUUUUUCUAUGUAAACACUUUCUACUAGAAAGCCUACUCCGAUUAUCAAGUGUAACACCUUUUCUGAAAGGAAAUGUUCUCUGGGUGGUACUUUUAAGGGGUUAUUUUUUUAAAUUCUCAUUAAUAUUCGAGAUAAUGAGGAAAACCUGGGUCUUUAGGUGAAAAGAGAUUGAAAGAAUAAAAGUAAGGUUGUCAUGGAAACGCAUAUUGUUGUAAUAAUUUUACCAUAAUACGACAUAUACCUAUGGUGACCAGACGUACUCUUUUUCGUAGGACAGUAUUCUUUAUUGAUACAUUGUCCUAUGUUCUUAAUAAUAGUAUUAAGUAUAUGCAAUUUUUCUUUUUUUUUUUUUUGAAAAUUAUAAAUGAUAAAUAAAUAAAUACAAAUUCGUAGGAAACAUAUAUUAAUAAAGUUUUGUAUUUAUUUAUUUAAAUGUUAACCUUUAAAAAUUAAUUAAAUUAUUUAUACCUUAGUUAUAUCUGCGUGACUGAAUACUUUAAGUUGACUUAAAAUUACUUAAAUUUCAAAGUAUCAUCAUCAUAAAGACAAACCAAAUGAGUUGACAUUACGAUUUCAAAUAAUUAGUUUUUAUAGUUGAUAAUAACAAAAGUGGUAAAAAAAAAAUGUAUAUAGAUGGAGAUAAGCUAUGGGCAAUAUGGGUGGAAUAGUACAUAUUACACAUUGACUAAUUCCCUUUCAAGGGAGGUUUUUUUUUACAAUGGAGGACCUAAAUUUUAAAAUAUACUUUUUUUUUGGAUUUUUAUAUAUGAUCACCAUAUAUAUAACAUAUUGUAUUGUUGACAAAGUAACAUUAUCAACUGAACUCUGCUCAAAAUUGUUUUUUUGUUAGCAAUGUUUUAUCUUUGCUUAAAGAUGUACAUUAAAUUCCUCUCUGUAUCCUACCUUUCCAACUUCCCACCUACAACAGUGAUUGCACCCAUGUGCAAAGUAUGUCCGUCCUUUUAAUAGCAUUAUCUUCUUUAUUUUAACUUUUAGCUGGUGAUUGUUGGUGACGAGGAUAUGGUCGUGGAUAUUCUCAAGGUCGAUGAAAAAUAAGUGGAAGUUAACGCGAAUAAGUUCAAUGUCAAGAUGGAGAUAGUAGAAGUUAACAUUGAUGAGCCUGAUGUCGACAUAGAGGUUGCUGAAAUAGAAUUUGAUGACUUGGUUGUAGAUCCUUAAAGAGAUAUGCCACAAGUGGUAAACGUUCAUGUAAUCAUACACAGAUUAUAUCGAAAUUAGUGCACUUUGGAAUUGUAGAUGGCCCACUCCAGAUAAAUUAUAUUGUGGCUUAUUAUUUUAUUAAUUUUUUUUACUAUGUCCAUUCUUAGUACUCUGUAAUACAAUUUAACAAAAGUAAAUACCAAGGAAAACCUCGGCUUGACUGUCUUAGUAUAGUAUUAGUGAUGCCCUUAUAAAAUUAUACAAAAUGCAGGAAUAGUAUAUAUUCUGUAGUAUCUAAUAAAUAUAUAGUAUGUAGUAUUCUGUGUUAUUUAAUCUAGUGUACAUUUUGUUUGAUUUUAUUAUUAAAAAAAUGUUUUUUCAACAGUUCCAUAAUAAUACAAAUUGUGUAACGAAUUAUGCUUUAUUUGAUUAUUGGACGAACUAAUGUUCUAAAAAAAGUAUUUUGUUUUUAAGUACUUUAUAGAUGCAAAUUGUAGAAAUAUAUCCUGUUAAAUGAC